This 459-nucleotide ribosomal RNA is filed under the name uncultured bacterium. RNAcentral's name for it is "partial 16S ribosomal RNA". It matches the Rfam family "Bacterial small subunit ribosomal RNA", at positions 338 to 795 of the family's 1533-position model. The record is from RNAcentral.
CCUACGGGAGGCAGCAGUGAGGAAUAUUGGUCAAUGGCCGGAAGGCUGAACCAGCCAAGCCGCGUGAAGGACGAAUGUGCCAAGCAUUGUAAACUUCUUUUGUCAAGGGACAAAAUCAGGCUCGAGAGCCUGACCGAGGGUACCUGAAGAAACAGCAUCGGCUAAUUCCGUUCCAGCAGCCGCGGUAAUACGGAGGAUGCAGGCGUUCUCGGGAUUUAUUGGGGUUAAAGGGUGGGUGGGCGGACUUUUAAGGCAGCGGUAAAAGCCCGGGGCUAAAACCCGGCGAGCCGUUGAAACUGGCUGUCUUGAGAUGUCGAGAGGUAUGCGGAAUGCGCAGUGUAGCGGUGAAAUGCUUAGAUAUUGCGCAGAACUCCGAUUGCGAAGGCAGCAUACCGGCGGCGAUCUGACGCUGAGGCACGAAAGCGUGGGUAUCGAACAGGAUUAGAUACCCUUGUAGUC